This 453-nucleotide ribosomal RNA is filed under the name mastodon intestinal bacterium AN-17-3. Its description in RNAcentral is "bacterial SSU rRNA". It matches the Rfam family "Bacterial small subunit ribosomal RNA", at positions 1 to 488 of the family's 1533-position model. The record is from RNAcentral. Lineage: Bacteria; Bacillati; Bacillota; Clostridia; Eubacteriales.
CAGGAGUUUGAUCCUGGCUCAGGAUGAACGCUGNCGGCGUGCCUAACACAUGCAAGUCGAGCGAUCUCUUCGGAGAGAGCGGCGGACGGGUGAGUAACGCGUGGGUAACCUGCCCUGUACACACGGAUAACAUACCGAAAGGUAUACUAAUACGGGAUAACAUANGAAAGUCGCAUGGCUUUUNUAUCAAAGCUCCGGCGGUACAGGAUGGACCCGCGUCUGAUUAGCUAGUUGGUAAGGUAAUGGCUUACCAAGGCAACGAUCAGUAGCCGACCUGAGAGGGUGAUCGGCCACACUGGAACUGAGACNCGGUCCAGACUCCUACGGGAGNCAGCAGUGGGGAAUAUUGCACAAUGGNCGAAAGCCUGAUNCAGCAACNCCGCGUGAGCGAUGAAGNCCUUCGGGUCGUAAAGCUCUGUCCUCAAGGAAGAUAAUGUCGGUACUUGAGGAGAA